Molecule: ribosomal RNA, 84 nt
Filed under: Betaproteobacteria bacterium
Lineage: Bacteria; Pseudomonadati; Pseudomonadota; Betaproteobacteria
Description: partial 16S ribosomal RNA
Rfam family: Bacterial small subunit ribosomal RNA
Source: RNAcentral
GAACUGAAGAGUUUGAUCCUGGCUCAGAUUGAACGCUGGCGGAAUGCUUUACACAUGCAAGUCGAACGGCAGCACGGGAGCUUG